CCGAGUGAGGGCCUCCGGCCCGACCUCCAAGCCUUUGUUGACCCACCUGUUGCCUCGGGGGCGACCCGGACGCCGACGCGUCGGCCGUCGGGCACCCCGGUGGACCACUGCAACUCUGUCAUCCGUGCGUCGGAGUACUUUGCGAAUCAAUCA
This 153-nucleotide unclassified non-coding RNA is filed under the name uncultured Ascomycota. RNAcentral's name for it is "sequence contains ITS1". The record is from RNAcentral. Lineage: Eukaryota; Fungi; Ascomycota.